AUGUGCGCUGGAAAGCUCCAUCUUGUUGUUGGACUUGGUGAAGCUAAUGGGCCCGAGGUCGGUAAGAAGAGUAGGAUGCCUCCAUCUUAUGCUGGUGGUCCGCGCUGUAUGACUGAAAACUUCUAUGAUGGGGUGGCUGUUUUGCGUAUGCAUGCCUCGCCUGAUAUAAUCACAACCUUCACAUGUAAUCCAAAGUGGCCUGAAAUAACGGAGAGUACUGAACCUGGGCAAAAAACAGUCGAUAGGUCUGACAUUACCGUUCGAGUGUAUCGCUUGAAAUUUCUUGAGUACCUACAGAAAAUCAGGACAGGGAGGAUGUUUGGGCCUGUAGUUGCUGUUAUCCACACAGGGGAGUUUCAUAAGAGGGAGCUGCCGCAUGCGUGUGUCCUUGUUUGGCAAGAGAAGCAUCAUGACCGGGUGGGUUCUCAACUGACUGAUAUUGAUGCUGAUGCUCCUGCUACUAUGCCUCCUAACACGAUGGAAACUACAGUUCCUAUGCCACUUAAGCUUAACAGGGGUGCUACUGCUGCUGCUUUUUUUUUGAACCGGGCGUGCCCCUUUCCAUUUAAGAUAAACGGAAAUACAACAGUCUCUGAUACAACCAGGAAGCAAGGAAAGAGAGGCAGCGAGUUCAACGCACUACCAGGAAACCCACUGUGCUCGCCCGCCAUCAAAACGAGCACCAUGGGGCGAAAACUUGACAGCACCUACUUAGUUUGA
RNAcentral lists this ribosomal RNA (720 nucleotides) under Triticum aestivum (bread wheat). RNAcentral describes it as "partial small subunit ribosomal RNA". Lineage: Eukaryota; Viridiplantae; Streptophyta; Magnoliopsida; Poales; Poaceae. The record is from RNAcentral.